Molecule: small nucleolar RNA, 213 nt
Organism: Malania oleifera
Lineage: Eukaryota; Viridiplantae; Streptophyta; Magnoliopsida; Santalales; Ximeniaceae
Product: small nucleolar RNA U3
Exons: 1
Source: RefSeq, a predicted model, not a curated record
ACGACCUUACUUGAACAGGAUCUGUUCUAUAGGCUCGUACCUCUGUGUCCUUGAACGCAAAGGAGACAGGAAUCCAAGUCUGGUGGAUGAAACAUGACCGUGUGAUCAGAGCGUGAUUAAGAGUUGCACGGUCAGCCCGAUCGUUGCGGCUGCAGAGGAACGUUCUCGAUCAGCUUGUCUGGUUGGGAUGAUCAUGCGGUUGUCUGACAGGCU